AACACUAAACCUUAAACAGUACCUCUGUGUCUCUGUGUGUGCUGAACAUGUAGGAUUGAGUCAGGCUGCAUUGACUGUGGGACUUUUCUGUGUUAAAAGCAAGUUGAAGACGGCUCAGAAACAUUUGAAGAUUAAAAUUUAGCAUUAUGGCUGCUGGUGGUGUGUAAAGCUUCUACUCAGCUGUAUUUUUGUUACUAAUUUAUGUUUGUUGUUGUUUAACACAGAUUUCAGAAGAGCAAAGAUGAGCACUGUUGCUUAAUCCUUAAUAGUUUAAGUGGAUUGGAAAUAAAAAAAUUCCAGAUUUUUCUUCCACAGAAGUUUCAUUUGUCAGUGUGAAGAGGGAGCUGCAGUGAGGACACAGCCUGGUCACUGAGGUCAGAGGUCAGAAUCUGAAACAGCUCAGGUUUAUAUUCUAGGGGUUACAAAAAAAAUCGAAAUGUAUUUAUAAAGAAACCUUUAAAUAAUAUUUUAAUUAAUAGUCAUAAUUAUGAUUAUUAUUAGAAAUAUCAAAUAUUUAAGUGGAUUUUCUGUUACACGUAUUGUCUUAGCCCUGCGAUAACUGGCAGCCUGUCUUUGUCCUGUAUCAGCUGGGAUAGGCUUCAUCCUCCCGCGACCUUGAAUUGGAUACAUGAAUUGUAUUGAAUUGUAUUCCAAUUAUGUAAUCUGAUCAUUUACAAACUCAAGGUAUCCAAUCAAAAUGUAAGUAAUAAUGCUAAAAAUGGGAAAGCAGAAAUAAGUGUGACAUGAAUGUAAAUGUGUGAGCUGACAUAGAGGACAGCUACAUGUAGUCUGAAAAACCUUUGUUGUCAAGUUUGCAGGUCUAUCACGAGACAUUCUUACAUAGAAGAGACUGUUAAAGUCUCUAACUCAGUGAAGCAUUAUUGGUCCCGUCUGUUUGGAUAAAUAUAGAGGCGCUGAAAGGUUUCCCUAAUAGUUCCUGGUGAAUCAAAGCAGGACCAUAAAGGUUGCUGGACUGCAUGAUGGCCUUACCCCUGAGCAGUCAUCCUGUUAAAGGAGGAACCAGUUAGAAGCUGUUUUCAAAGUAGCUGAGCAGAUUUCAUCUCAAAUCAAAGCAGCUCGUGCUCUGUCUGCUUCCAUUCUGAUGGCAAGAAGAAGGAGAAGAAUGCUUCAGCGAAGUGGCGUUCAUGGUCUCAGUGGACAGUCAUGGUCACACACUGCAUGUGGUUUUAAAAGCAACAUUGUUCACCACAACAAUGGAGAUGUGUAAUAUUAGUGCAGCUACAGUUUGUUCUUGAACAUCAGUUCUGUUUUCUACUUUGACCACUUAGACCAAAAAAAGUGUUGUUUUCAGAUUCUUUCUUUUAAAUCUAUAAAUCACCUGUUCAUUUUUUAUUACAAUUAGUUUCACAUAAAUGUUAGUGUUUCCUCUAUGAUCUUUUAAUGCUUACACUACACUGUACACGUCUACACUAGAGACAUUUCUGUUACCUGUAUGAGACUGGGCUGCUUGACUACAAUUUGGAAAUGGAUGCAAAAUCACACGGAUCGUGCUAUUGUUUGUUUUUUAAUAUGAUGGACUGAACACAGGAGGUAUCUGACUAAGCAAAGAUUAAUCUGAGCCCAUUUCUACCUGUCUCUACUGUUUCAACUGUAACUGUCAGGAUAUAUAUUUAUUCCAGCUCUCACAGGACAAAGGAAUGACUCAGACUUGUCAAAUGUUCUUUGACUUGAUACACAAUAUGAAGUUCACAAUUUUCUUACAAAUAAAACUAUAAUGACAAACAUGAA
Molecule: long non-coding RNA, 1749 nt
Organism: Oreochromis niloticus (Nile tilapia)
Lineage: Eukaryota; Metazoa; Chordata; Actinopteri; Cichliformes; Cichlidae
Exons: 3
Source: RefSeq, a predicted model, not a curated record